Molecule: ribosomal RNA, 2108 nt
Filed under: Tricholoma terreum
Lineage: Eukaryota; Fungi; Basidiomycota; Agaricomycetes; Agaricales; Tricholomataceae
Description: small subunit ribosomal RNA
Rfam family: Bacterial small subunit ribosomal RNA (bases 8-1833)
Source: RNAcentral
UUCAGUAAGAAUUUAAUUUUGGUUCUGAUUGAACGUUUUUCAGUAGUUUUAAGACAUGCAAAUCGUUGUUACUGAAAAGUUUUAUAAUUUAUAUUAGAAUAACAAAUAAUAAUAUAUAAUAUUAUCUUUUUAAAACUAAAAAUAAAAAAUAAAAUAAAUAAGGACAAGGUGUAUAGGUGAGUAUUGUAAAUUAGAUACCUUAUAGACUCCUUAAUUCGGAGAUAAUUUUAUUUCUCUAAUUGAUUAUCUUAUUUUAUAUCAUUAUAAAGAGUAAUUGAUUAAGAGAUACUUUUGAUUAAUAAAAACAAAAAUAAGGUUAUUAAUCUGAACAUUAAAAUUCAGAUUAAAUUAGCUAACCUUCCUCAAAGUUUAACAGUAAACACCACAUAGCCUUUAGGUUUAUAGAUUAAAUAGAGUUAUAUUCUUCAAUAAGGAAAAGUGAAAGAUAAAUUAGCUAUUUAUUCCAAAAGGAAAUUUUCUGCUAUAAGAUUCGAUUUAUUUUGUUUAAUGGUAGUUGGUAGAGUAAAAGCCUACCAAGCCUACGAUCAAAAGCCAUGUUUGAUAGAGCAGAUGGCCACAUUGGGAAUGAAAUGCCCCAAGUAGUAUUAACUACCAGCAGUCAAGAAUAUUAGUCAAUGCUCGCAAGAGUGAACUAGCUAACUGAAAUCACAUGACUCAUUAAUUGAUGGUGAUUGUGAUAACAUAAGGGAAAAAAAUGAUGUUACCUUAUUAUUAGUGUUGUCCAAAACUGGUGCCAGAAGACUCGGUAAGACCAGAGACGCAAACGUUAGUCAUCUUAAUCAGGCGUAAAGGGUGUGUAGGCUGCUUUAAAAGUUUAAUUCUUUGUAAUAGCUCUGUAAUCGUAUAUAUUUUUAUAUAUGGGACAAUAUAUAAAAAGAGACGUGUUACAGUAAAGAAAUAAAUGAAUAAAAGCUAGGAUCAAAUUGAGGAUAAGCCGAAUAAUACUUAGAGUAGGGGUUAAAUCCGCAGAUACUAAGGGGAAUACUAACGGUGAAAGCUUUUAUCUACUAUUGAUUGACGCUGAGAAACGAAGGUGAGAACAGGAAAUAGGAUUAGAUACCCAGAUACCUCUCACUGUCAACGAUGAAUGGUGGUUUGUUAGUUUUUGUCAAGAACUAGUAACGAUGUUAACACGAUAACCAUUCCGCCUUGCGAGUACGGUUGCAAAACUGAAACCAAAAAAAUUAGUCGGUCUCGAAGCAAACGAAGUGAAGCAUGUUAUUUAAUACGAGAAUACGCGUAAAACCUUACCAGUUCUUGCAUAUCCAAUGAUGUUCUUAGUUAAUUCUAAGUUCUUUUUAAUAAGAAAAACUAAUUGAGUAAUUUUUAUAAUAUUUAAAAAUUCGUUUACAGGUGUUGCAUGGCUGUCGUCAGUCCGUGCCGUGAGAAGUGAGGUUAACUCCACUAACGGACGAAAUCCCUGUUGUUAAUUUAUACUUAACAAUUAAUGAUUUUUAAAUAUUUUCAUUUGGGGCUAAGACAAGCCGUUAUGGUCCUCAUGAACUGGGCUAUAGACGUGCCACGAAAACUUUUACAAAGUGAAGCAAAACUAGACCUAUAAGCUAAUUGCUAGAUAGCUAAUUAGUGAUCAUUAAGAUUUCAAGGGUCAGAAGGAAUAGCUAAUCAUUAAAGAAAGUUAAUAAAUUAAAUAGUAUAACGGAUUGUCGCCUGUAAUUCGGUGACAUGAAGAAGGAAUUUCGAGUAAUCGUUGAUUAGUAGCGCAACGGUGAAGGAAGCAUUCGGGAUGAACUAACUGUCUGUCGCUGGGAAGAAGCUUAACUUGAGGGAAACUGCCGCGAGGUUAUAACUUUAAUAAAGGAAAACUUAUAUUAAUAAUAGCAAUGGUGAGAUUGAAUUAUCUCUAUAUUUAUAUUAUUUUUAAAAUUAAAUUAAAUAUUUAAUUAUACUUAAUUUAAGAGUAGUUUGUAUGCUAAUUGUUAAAAAAACAAUAGUUAGAUAUUGUAAUUAGUCUUUUAUUUAAAAACACCUUUGUUAAGCUAAUUAGUAUCAGUUAACUCAUUUAAGUAACAUCUCAAAAGUCAUAGCAAGGUAGCUGUACUGGAAAGUGCAGCUGUAAAAUAAACAAA